GACGAACGCUGGCGGCGUGCCUAAUACAUGCAAGUUGAGCGCUGAAGGUUGGUACUUGUACCAACUGGAUGAGCAGCGAACGGGUGAGUAACGCGUGGGGAAUCUGCCUUUGAGCGGGGGACAACAUUUGGAAACGAAUGCUAAUACCGCAUAAAAACUUUAAACACAAGUUUUAAGUUUGAAAGAUGCAAUUGCAUCACUCAAAGAUGAUCCCGCGUUGUAUUAGCUAGUUGGUGAGGUAAAGGCUCACCAAGGCGAUGAUACAUAGCCGACCUGAGAGGGUGAUCGGCCACAUUGGGACAGAGACACGGCCCAAACUCCUACGGGAGGCAGCAGUAGGGAAUCUUCGGCAAUGGACGAAAGUCUGACCGAGCAACGCCGCGUGAGUGAAGAAGGUUUUCGGAUCGUAAAACUCUGUUGGUAGAGAAGAACGUUGGUGAGAGUGGAAAGCUCAUCAAGUGACGGUAACUACUCAGAAAGGGACGGCUAACUACGUG
RNAcentral lists this ribosomal RNA (497 nucleotides) under uncultured bacterium. RNAcentral's name for it is "partial 16S ribosomal RNA". It matches the Rfam family "Bacterial small subunit ribosomal RNA", at positions 28 to 507 of the family's 1533-position model. The record is from RNAcentral.